UACGUAGGGUGCAAGCGUUGUCCGGAAUUAUUGGGCGUAAAGAGCUCGUAGGCGGUUUGCCGCGUCGGCUGUGAAAACUCGGGGCUCAACCCCGAGCCUGCAGUCGAUACGGGCAGACUAGAGUGCUGUAGGGGAGACUGGAAUUCCUGGUGUAGCGGUGAAAUGCGCAGAUAUCAGGAGGAACACCGGUGGCGAAGGCGGGUCUCUGGGCAGUAACUGACGCUGAGGAGCGAAAGCGUGGGGAGCGAACAGG
Molecule: ribosomal RNA, 253 nt
Filed under: uncultured bacterium
Lineage: Bacteria
Description: partial 16S ribosomal RNA
Rfam family: Bacterial small subunit ribosomal RNA
Source: RNAcentral